GCCAGACUCCUACGGGAGGCAGCAGUGGGGAAUAUUGGGCAAUGGGCGCAAGCCUGACCCAGCAACGCCGCGUGAAGGAAGAAGGCUUUCGGGUUGUAAACUUCUUUUGUCAGGGAAGAGUAGAAGACGGUACCUGACGAAUAAGCCACGACUAACUACGUGCCAGCAGCCGCGGUAAUACGUAGGUGGCAAGCGUUGUCCGGAUUUACUGGGUGUAAAGGGCGUGUAGCCGGGUUGACAAGUCAGAUGUGAAAUCCUGCGGCUUAACCGCAGAACUGCAUUUGAAACUGUUGAUCUUGAGUACUGGAGAGGCAGACGGAAUUCCUAGUGUAGCGGUGAAAUGCGUAGAUAUUAGGAAGAACACCAGUGGCGAAGGCGGAUGACUGGACGACAACUGACGGUGAGGCGCGAAAGCGUGGGGAGCAAACAGGAUUAGAUACCCGCGUAC
This 448-nucleotide ribosomal RNA is filed under the name uncultured bacterium. Its description in RNAcentral is "bacterial SSU rRNA". It matches the Rfam family "Bacterial small subunit ribosomal RNA", at positions 330 to 793 of the family's 1533-position model. The record is from RNAcentral.